RNAcentral lists this long non-coding RNA (1300 nucleotides) under Equus caballus (horse). RNAcentral's name for it is "lncRNA (ENSECAG00000057184.1)". The record is from RNAcentral. Lineage: Eukaryota; Metazoa; Chordata; Mammalia; Perissodactyla; Equidae.
GGCUGGGCUGUGGGUUGGCUGGUUCUUUUUUAGUUUAUUUAUUUAUUUUUAAACCCCUUUGCUAUAUUGGCGUUGGGGAGUCUGGGUUUGAGGAUGUAGGUGGUAACUAAGCGUCAUCCAUGAGUAUCAGACAGUGGGAAGAAUGGAAUAUGCAUUAAUUUAAAAUGUUACACAUUUCAUUAAAAAAUGUGCUCCUUCCCAGUUCUCGUCUCAACUCUGCAGCUUGGGGACCCAGCACACCCCACAGGAAAUAGGGCAAGUCAACACGUCUUUAGUGUCAGCAGUUGCGUGGCUAAUUCGGUAGACAAGCACCAGUCGUCGUGGGCUGGAACACUCCGAACCGUCCUUGGGGCAGGGGUAUUUAAGUCUGCUGGGCUCGCCCUCGGAUGUGGGCCGACCUCUCCAGGAAGGGGACAAGGGUGCAUUUCCCACAAAAGGCGCACUGACAACCCUUUUUCCCAGUGGUGCUGGGGGAGAGAUAUUGCGGCGGCACCCAUGUUAGAGUGCAGCAAGGGACGGCAGCCCGGGAGGCCCCGGUUGUGCAAAAGGAAGGUAAAAGCCCAGGCCUGAGCAAUGAGGACGUGACUGGGAGAUUUCCAGCCAGGGAGACUUUUCCAUCGUGGUGGAUAUCCUUACCCUUGGUGGUUGCUAAAGAAGCAGAUACCUCGCUACCCCUAUGAGCGUCCUCUGUUGUCCUCAGGCGGUUUGACAGUCACCUGCGUGGUUGAUUGGGACAGCUGCACGGCCCUUCGCCUUUCCCAAUGAGCACAGAGAAGGAGCCCCUGGGAAGCUGAGGGGCAGGGUUGGGUUCCUGGGUGUGAAGAUGCGGAGGUGACUGUCCCAUGAAUAUGCCUUGUUGAGUUAGAACAGUGGCGCUAAGGCAGAAUCAUGCCACCAUGAGGCUGAAGUACACCUAGAAGAGGGUGAUGCGUGCGCGUUCAUAUCCCGGGGGUCUACAGAUUGAAGCGCCAGACGAUCAGCUGGAAGUGAGAAAUAUCUGUGAAGCUCUGUGUUUUAUCUUAAUGGAUUUUUGCAUUCUACUCUAUAAUUAGUUGAAGUAUUUUAAAACUUCAGGUCUUAAAAUGGACCCUCAAGAAAAAUGUAUCAUUUUUGUCCUGUGGAUCUGGAUGCCGCCUACCACAGUAUUUUGAACUGAUGGCACUCGACUCCCUGGUGGAUUGUGAAAUCAGCUUAAAACGACUGCAAUCGAUACGGGAACGUGGUUGGGAGAAACUGGCUCGCUUCUGAAUUCAAAGACAAAACGUGAUUGGUUCAGGUAAUUACCGUCAUCCCUGAGUGA